This 445-nucleotide ribosomal RNA is filed under the name uncultured bacterium. RNAcentral describes it as "partial 16S ribosomal RNA". It matches the Rfam family "Bacterial small subunit ribosomal RNA", at positions 354 to 796 of the family's 1533-position model. The record is from RNAcentral.
GUGAGGAAUAUUGCGCAAUGGAGGCAACUCUGACGCAGCCAUGCCGCGUGCAGGAAGAAGGCGCUACGCGUUGUAAACUGCUUUUAACCGGGAAGAAACCCCAGGACGUGUCCUGGGUUGACGGUACCGGAGGAAUAAGCACCGGCUAACUUCGUGCCAGCAGCCGCGGUAAUACGAAGGGUGCAAGCGUUAUCCGGAUUCAUUGGGUUUAAAGGGUGCGUAGGCGGAGCGUUAAGUCAGUGGUGAAAUCCUGCAGCUUAACUGUAGACUUGCCAUUGAUACUGGCGAUCUUGAGUGCGCUUGAAGUGGGCGGAAUGUGCCGUGUAGCGGUGAAAUGCUUAGAUAUGGCACAGAACACCAAUUGCGAAGGCAGCUCACUAAGGCGAUACUGACGCUGAGGCACGAAAGCGUGGGGAUCGAACAGGAUUAGAAACCCGGGUAGUCC